RNAcentral lists this ribosomal RNA (254 nucleotides) under uncultured bacterium. RNAcentral's name for it is "partial 16S ribosomal RNA". It matches the Rfam family "Bacterial small subunit ribosomal RNA", at positions 524 to 776 of the family's 1533-position model. The record is from RNAcentral.
UACGGGGGAAGCAAGCGUUGUUCGGAUUUACUGGGCGUAAAGGGCGCGUAGGCGGCCAGCACAAGUCAGUUGUGAAAUCUCCGAGCUUAACUCGGAAAGGUCAACUGAUACUGUGCGGCUAGAGUGCGGAAGGGGCAACUGGAAUUCUUGGUGUAGCGGUGAAAUGCGUAGAUAUCAAGAGGAACACCUGCGGCGAAGGCGGGUUGCUGGGCCGACACUGACGCUGAGGCGCGAAAGCUAGGGGAGCAAACAGG